GUGCCACAACUACUGAAGCCCGUGUGCCUAGAGCCCGUGCUCCACAACAAGAGAAGCCACCACGAGAAGCAUGCACACCGCAACGAAGAGUAGCCCCUGCUCGCCGCAACUAGAGAAAGCCCACGCACAGCAAUGAAGACCCAACGCAGACAAGAAAAAAGAACUCGAAGCCCUUCAGAGCUACCAAGAAUGUCACUUUGUUCACUUCCUGCCUGGGGAGAAAGAGAGAGAGGGAAAGGGGCUACCAAGUGACAAUGGAAGUCGAUUAGCAGAUUGGCUGGCAGGAGUCAGCUGGGAUCGGUUCCCAUCUAUCGCCUCAGCAGGAGAGUCAGUGACUGGUCUCAACUUGCUAUAAAGUUUCCAAGGGAUAUUGGUGCCAGGAAGCUGGUCUACCCAGGACUGGUUUCAGCUGAAGACCUACCUAAAAUGCUCUGAAUUGGUUCGACACAAGUCUUUCUAGUUCCUUCUCAAAGGCAGGAAAUGAUGACAUUUGCUCUCUGCAGACACUGUGGAAGUCACACCUUGGCAGAUAAAUGUACAGAUUCAGGUCACUUGGACGCUCCUGAAACCUGACAUUCUGGGUAAGGUUUUUCUCCCCU
This is a long non-coding RNA of Globicephala melas (long-finned pilot whale), 599 nucleotides long. RefSeq lists it as uncharacterized. The record is from RefSeq and is a predicted model, not a curated record. Lineage: Eukaryota; Metazoa; Chordata; Mammalia; Artiodactyla; Delphinidae.